GAGAGAGAGAGAGAGGGUAUAAAUGGAGUGUUGGAGGGUAAAAAUCCAGGGGCAGAUCUGCACCAACAAUUGAAAGAAAAGAUACCAUCGAGGCUGCGAAAAAAGAAAAAGCAAAGGGGAGAAUAUCGUUUUCGAUACUAUACCAUACCAUUUUUUUUAAAAAGUUCUUCACGAGUUUUUGUAUGUGUGUACAACUUACAUAUAUAAGCUUAUCAUCAUUUUGUGUCUACAUUUUUUUCUCUAUAUAAAAGAAAGGGGGAAAGAGGGGUUGAGAGAGUUUUGGCAGUGGUGGAUGGUUUUGUAAAGAAGAGGAGUGAGGAGAAGAACAUGUUUGAGUUGAGAGAAGGGAGUUGUUAUCCAAAGGCUUUAACGGGAGUGAAUGUGGCUCUUGCUUCUGUCGAUGCCGUUAUUGCUCUUCUUGCUUUUGCUCAGGUAACUCUUUCUUUUAUUUUUGUUCUAGAGGGUUAUAUAUAUAUGGGUUUUUGUUAAAGCUUCUGUCUUUAUCUUUCAAUUGCUGUGUUGGUUGUUCUUUUCUUGGAAUUCUGAAAGGAGAGUAUUUUUUAAUGUGCUAAGUUAUGAAUGUAUUUCAAUUGGGAUUUUGGGUUGUGGUUUCUGGGUUUUUUUUGAAAGGUUUUAAUGGAUUCUGAAUAUCAAUUUUAUUUGUGAUGGACCUUGGAAGGAUGCUCUUUUGGCUAGAUUCGUGCUAUUGGAUUGAAAAAUUGAGUCUUUCUUACUAAAUACUCUUGAUCCAGACCCCACCUGGUGGGAGUAUACUGGGUAGUUGUUGUUGUUACUAAAUACUCUUGACGUAGCUCGUUAGCUUCUACUAUAUGCGUGGUCAAUUCAGUUUAUAAUGCUUCAAUCUUAAGGAAUGUCGCUCAAUUGUCACAAUGGCUAAAAGAUUGUAUUUUUUUCCUAAAUUUUAUCGUGGGUUUGUGCGGAUGCAUUUUCUUGAGACAGUUCCUCUGCCAUUUGUGGUGCUCUCCAGAUAUGGAUUCUCUGAAGCGAGACACUCAUUUUUCAUGUUGAAACUGCAUAUACUACCCACGUAACUAAUUGUUGCUCCUCUUCGCUGGGUCGGGUAGGAUUGAACUUUUUGCAUUGAUCAAAUCAUGAUAG
Molecule: long non-coding RNA, 1119 nt
Filed under: Nicotiana benthamiana
Lineage: Eukaryota; Viridiplantae; Streptophyta; Magnoliopsida; Solanales; Solanaceae
Description: long non-coding RNA (NBEN_LNC031038)
Source: RNAcentral